GUAUUUAGUAUAGAUUCUUUUAAUAAUAUAAUAAUAUUUUAAAUUAAAAAAUAAAGUAAAAAUGGUUAAAAUAUGAACAUUAUUAGCAGCAAAGAACAGUGAAUAUAAGUGUUUUACUGUGACAGUGAAGGUGGAGUUUGGAGUCUAGAGGUUGUUGAGGACGAUGUUGGCGAGAUUCAAACCUUCACAUGUGGUGUCAUCAUCAGAGAUCUUGGAAGAAAAAGACCAAGAGAACCCUGAGGUGGCAGAGAACCCAACGCUCACCCACUCCGGAAGAAGGCUCUCGAGCUCCACUCUCUGAGAGACGAUGUAGUUCGUUGGCUGAGAAGGGUAAACCAGAGAAGCCACCAAGAGCUUCGUGGAGGACUCAUAGGUGAUCUGAACCUCCGCGUUUUCUCCGUUGACCAAUUCCCACGGCGUCGUUUUCAUAGACUCGAUGGAGUUCACGUCGAUGCCAAUAUGACGGCCUUCGGGGUCCCACUCCUGGUUGACGAAGGUGUCGAACUCCACAGCCACAGUAUGGGCUUUGCUGUUGUAUUUGUCGCUGUCGAAAAGACCUAGAAAACCGCCUUGCUUUGUUGGGAACGAGAGCAAAGCCAAGGCCAUCGGCGGCUUUUGCUUUGUUGGGAGCGUGGAUAUUGAAUUUGAAGUUUGUGGUGAAGCUGGCGACUUUUCCGGUGGCGCUGUCUUAGAUUUGGAUGGGGGCGGAGUAGAAGGCGCGGCCCAGAGAGGCCACCGUGGGUUCUCCGUUGCUAUUAACAUUGGUUAGUCGUAACUGGCCGGAGGAUGAGACGGAGGCAUCGCCUUGGAGGAUAAGGUUGGUUUCGUUGAACCUAUCGAAGCUGAAGGAGGUUUCGCUGGCUGAGUUUGCGUGGCUGAGAAGCACAAGGAAGAGGCUAGGUUGAGUAAGUUGGAGGAAGCCAUGUAUGCAUUCAUGCAUUAACCAUCACUCUCUUCUCUAUUUAUACAACAACAAAUGCAAAAUCUUUCCAACUUUUUUAUUUCAUUCUAUUAUUAAAUACGUGUUUUCGAAUGAUUAACUUUUUUCUUUUAUAAUAUUAUUUGAGAGAGAAAUAAGAAUAUUAAAAUAAGAAUUAAGCAACGAUUGAUUUUACAACGAUUCAACGUUUUGCUACGAUUCUUAAUUACAAUGUGUCGAUAACUCUUUUUAAGUAUUUGGGUAUGCUGGUAGGGGGUGUCAUUGGAGAGGUGCUUUUUGAGCGGACAAAAAUUCCAAAAAUCCACCAUUUAUUAUUAAUCUUUUUUAUUAUUUAGGUAUUUUUCAGGUAUUUUAAGGUUUUAGUUCUCACAGUUACCCUAAUUAGAAAAUUCUAAUUUUUUUUUCAUGAUUUUUUAGUUAUAAAUUAGUGAUAUAUCAAAACCCUAUAAAUUAGUGAUAAUUCAUAUUUUUCGUGAAGGGAAUGCGUGUGCUAAUAAGUUGGCUAAUUUAGGAUUUAUUCAUAGAGAAUCAUUUCAUUGGUAUAAUAGACUCCCAGCUAGUCUGUUCUUAGAAUUCUUUAUGAAUAGGUAUAAUCUACCUAUUUAUCGUUUUUGUUAACAUAUGGGUUUUGGUCUAGUCCCGUCAUAUUUUUGUAUUUUCUUUCUUUUUUCUUUUUUUUUAAUAAUAUUUUUUUUAUGUGAUGACAAAUGAUUGUUGUUACUUGAGGUGUCAGCUUAGCUGAGAUGUCAAGUUGCAUAGUGAUGCCUAACACGAAAACUUUAUAUAAAAAAAAACCCUAUGGACAUAUAUAUGUCAGAUUUGUUAGAAUUUGCAUAUGGAGAUCAUUGUAAGAGCAUGACUGGAAGCAAAUAAUAAUAUUUAACUUAUUCUUUAUAAUUUUUUAACACUAAUUAAUGUGAAUCCUUUUUCCCGCCAUAGAAUAUGUGAGAAAUGGGCCACGUAUUUCCUUAAUUUCUAUAACUCUAAGAUAAAUAAUCAAUAAUAUAGGAAUUAGAUAGAUAGAUAGGAAUAUAUAUGUUAUUAGUGUUUGUAAUACAUCUUUAUCAAUGUAUAUAAUUUGAUUAUCUGAAUAUAUGUAUCAGGGCUAACUUAGUUUUAAUUGUACAAGUCAAUUUAGAUAGGAUUAACAUUAAACAGAAUGAACUAAACAAAAAAUUCUCAUUUAAAAUGGCGGCUUUUACCAUAACUGCCAUUUUAUAUCUUUCAAGAAGGUAUAAAUGACGACUUUUUAUCAUAACCGUCAUUUUAUAUCUUUAAGGAGGAUCUAAAACGGUGACUUUUUACCAUAACUGUUGUUUUAUAUCUUUUAAAAAGGUCUAAAACGACGACUUUUACCAUAAUUGCUGUUUUAGACUGAAUAUAACACAACGAUUAUAUAAUCUCUGUCUUUGCUUGAAAAGAAUAGACUAUAUGUUGAAAGACAACGCUACAAGAACCGUUGUUUUAAUACUAAAAUGAUCGUCGUGAUUUAAUUUUUUUCAUCAGUAAUUGUAAAGUUUCUUUUUAGAGUGUUGAUAAACAUAUAUCGAUUUGAAAUGAAUAGAGUUAGAAAGUAAAAAAAAAAUACAAGAAAAAUGUUAAAUAAUGUCAUAGAAAUAGAAAUGGAAGAGAAGUGUAAAGAAAUUUAAAUAAAAAUUAGAUGUGAGAGUAAGUUAGUUUAUAAAUUGAUUUGUUUAAUGAUUUAAUAACUGUAAAAAUCAAAUAAAAGUAAAUUAUAGUAAUAUGUACUAAGAUUUAAUGUAAUUACACCCAUGUUUCCUUUUUUUUUCUCUGUUAUACUUUAACUUAUAAUAAUCCUUUCCAUUAUUAUAAACUUUUUUAAAAUUACAUAUUUUUCAAAUUAUGCACUAAUAAUAUAAUAAUACACAUGCUGAAUAAUACGCAGUGUAAAUAUAUGAGCUCCUAUUUUAUUUAUGCUCCCAUUUGUGACAGAUGAAGAUUAUUAGCAGGAAAGAAGAGUGAGAGUGAGUAUAAGCAGGGUUUUACUGUCACAGUGAAGGUGGUUUUUGGAAUCUAGAGGAUCUUGUUGAGGAGGAUGUUGGCGAGAUUCGAAUCUUCAGAUGUGGUGUGACAGGAGAACUUGGAAGAAAAAGACCAAGAGAGCAGGUCGUGCGUUUCACUGGACACGUUAGAUGACCCUGAGGUGGAAGAGAACCCAACGCUCACAUUUAAUAAUAAUAUUAUGUGAUACCUCACAAUUAUUUAUCUUAUUAAUUGAUCAAUUACCAUAAUUAUCCUAUUAUAUUAUUGGUAAUUACUAUUAUCAUAAAUAAUUAGGGUUUCUUCUUGGGUGUAUUAUAAAUAGAGAUUACCAGACAACUAAAGAGACACUCUUAUAUUCUAACAUCACACGGUCGAAACUCAUUCCCUAAAGGGAUUUUCGAGCCUCUCAUCUCUUUGUCUCUCUGCUCACAUAAUUCCAUUUUAAGCGAUACACUCUAAAGGGAAACCCGAUCAAGAUCAUGUCUUCGUCCCUCAGCCAUGCGAUCACGGGUUUACCAAGUAUUAUCUAAUCAUUAUUCUCGUUUCAUUAUAUGAUUGAGGAAUCCUAAUCCAACAUGUGGUAUCAGAGUCAGGUUUAUGUUGUUUAAUCGAUUCUUCUUUUGUUUUCCCUAAAUUUGGAAGAAACGAGGAUUUUGAUUCAACCUAUUGAUUUUCGAUGUUUUUAUUUUGGUAUAUUAUUGAACCACUUAUUUUCGAAAAUCCACCUUGAUAUCAUAAAAUAAAUUUUAAUUUUUUCGAGAUCCAUAAUUAUUUUAAGAUUUUGAAAAUUAAAAUUUAAUAUUAAUGUUAUGUGUUCUUCAUAAUUUUCGUGAGUAUUCCCUUAUUUGGAAUGGAAUUAAUUUUGAUUAUAUGUUCAUCAUCAUUAUUUGUUGUUCGUAUGAAUUUUUGAAAAUUAUGAAUAAAGAAUUUUCAAAAAUUAAUUAUUCCCUUAAUUAGGAAAUUUUGAAAAUAAUAUUUUUCCUUAAUUCAAAUUUUCGAAAUACAAUUGAUUCCCUUAAUUAGGAAUGGAUUUGAUUUGAUUUGAUUGUGUUUUUCUAAAAAAAUAAAUAAAAAUUGAUAUCUUAGUCUCCACGUUUUUCCUUAUUUAGGAUAGUAUAUUCUUGCCUUAUUAAUUUUCGGGUAUUAUUAUUAUUAUUACUAUUUUCGAAAAUAGCAGUCGUGUCAAACUUGGAAACAUAUCAAUCUAAUUAAAAUUUUGAAGACCAAAUCUAAAAUCAAAUCCUUAAUAUUCCGCUACUCACUUAUCGAGUUUACGAGUAACAUAUUUACGCGUUUCCUUUUAUUUAUCGAAUUAAAUAUGGUAAAUCUCAUGAUACCGUAAUUAUGUUUUAAAAAAAAUACUUAUUUUGUUAAACUCUUAAAACAAAAAUAUUAAGUUUGACAAAAUUAAAAUUAAAUUUUUUGCUUAAACUUAAUAACAGGAGUCUCCCUUCUGUCCAACGAUGAUGGGUUAUGUCUUGUUAUUUUAGUCUAAUUAAGCACCUUCACUUACUUGUGAGUACACUUAAUUAUUAAAUAUUCGCAUGACAUUUGCCUAAAAACACAAUUAUUUCUUAUUUCUAUUCUGUCCAACGAUGUUUGAUGCACUUGUGUUUUGCAAACUUAAUAUGUGCAUAAGCUUAAAUGUUCAAUUCUGUCCAAAGAUGAUGUGUCACAUUCUUAUUGCACAUACCUUACUUAUAAUUGUUCAUUAUUCUUAAAUAAUUGGUAAUUAACCAAAGUGAAAGCUGAUUGUUUAAGUAGAACCUAAUCUAGUCUAUUAUUUUGAUGUUAUAAUAGAUUUUAUCACAGCUUCAUUAUCAUAAUGGUUCUUACUUAUGCCUGCUUUAGAUCUAAGUUUCCAAAUGUCACUCUAACUUUUUCCUUAGCCUAAGUAUCUUAAUUCGUCGUCUAACCAGCCCCUAAUAUGGAAAUUGAGACCUUGACUGGUGAAAAUCAUUCUUCUUGGAAAGAUUCCUUGAUGCUNNNNNNNNNNNNNNNNNNNNNNNNNNNNNNNNNNNNNNNNNNNNNNNNNNNNNNNNNNNNNNNNNNNNNNNNNNNNNNNNNNNNNNNNNNNNNNNNNNNNNNNNNNNNNNNNNNNNNNNNNNNNNNNNNNNNNNNNNNNNNNNNNNNNNNNNCAAUCAUUAGAGGAGGCAUUCCUGAUUCACCUAACGCUAAGGCUUAUCUAGCUUCUGUGGAGGAACAAUUUCAAGGAACCUCUAAGGCUCAUGCUAGUACUCUUAUCUUGAAGUUGGUGACUACAAAAUAUGACGGGCGCACCGGCAUUCGUGAACACAUCCUGAUGAUGAGCGACAUGGCCCGUAAACUUAAGGGAUUAGCCAUGGAGAUCAGUGAAGGUUUCCUAGUCCACUUCAUUAUGACUUCUCUUCCUUCUGCGUUUGAAGCCUUCAAAGUCAACUAUAAUACUCAGAAGGACAAAUGGUCCAUGAGUGAGUUGAUUGCUAUGACUGUUCAAGAAGAAGAGCGCCUGAAGUUGGAGAAACCAGAUGUUGCUUACCUCGUGGCUGCUGAGUCGAAGAAGCGGAAGGGCAAAUUCCAUAAAAAGGAAUCUAAUAAGGUCCCUAAAACUGAUGCAAGUGCACCCUCCAGCUCUAACAAAUUCACUAGCAAGUUCUACUGCAAGUUCUGCCGCAAGGUAGGACAUAAGCAGUCUGAGUGCUCAAGCUUUAAGGAGUGGUUGGCUAAGAAAGGUAAUCAUCUAAAUAUGAUAAUUGAGUCCUUUAAUUUAAAUGUUCCAACUAAUACUUGGUGGUUUGACUCUGGUUCUAUGGUUCAUGUGACCAAUUCAAUCCAGGGAUUCCUUACAAUCCAGAAGCUGGAAAGAAACCAAAGAACACUUAAGAUGGGGAAUGGACAAGAACUAUUUGUCGAAGCUGUCGGAAUCUUAGAAUUACUUAUGAAAACUGGAAAAUGUAUUAAACUUUAUGAUACCUUAUAUAUUCCCGAAAUUACUCAGAAUCUUGUAUUAGGACCAAAGUUAGACAUUGAUGGUUUUUAUGUUUCCCAUGGUCAUGGCAAACUUACUAUUUCUUUAAAUUCUCAAUUGUUUGGUACUGGUUUUCUGGAUAACGGUCUCUAUAAGUUAGAACUAGAUGAUAACUUCUCCAAAUCUUUGUUAUCAUAUAAUAUUAAUGAGAACUUAACAAAGACCAAGAGAAAACGAGACUUAGAAACUUCAUCCAUGUUGUGGCAUCAACGUUUAGGCCACAUUUCACGAGAUCGCUUAUCUCGACUUGUGAAGGAUGAAGUCUUACCAUCUCUCAAUUUCACUGAUUUUGGAACAUGUGUCAAAUGCCUCAAAGGCAAAAUGACAUCCACGACUAAGAAAGGCAAAAUGACAUCCACGACUAAGAAAAAAAAAUACAAGAAAAAUAUUAAAUAAUGUCAUAGAAAUAGAAAUGGAAGAGAAGUGUAAAGAAAUUUAAAUAAAAAUUAGAUGAGAGAGUAAGUUAGUUUAUAUUGAUUUCUUUAGUGAUUUAAUAACUGUAAAUAAGAAAGAGUAAAUUAUAGUAAUAUUUACUAAGAUUCAAUGAAGUUACACCAAUGUUUCCUUUUUUUAAUAUGUUAUACUUUAAUUUAUAAUAAUCCUGUCCAUUACUAUAAAAAUUUUAAAAAUUACAUAUUUUUCAAAUUAUGCACUAAUAACACGCAUAUAUGGUCAAACAGAAUAAACUAAAGCAAAAAAUUCUCAUUUAAAAUAGCGGCUUUUAUCAUAACGGUCGUUCUAUAUCUUUGAAGAUGGUAUAAAAUGAUGAGUUUUUAGCAUAACUGCCAUUUUAUAUCUUUCAGGAGGAUUUAAAACAACGAUUUUUUAGCAUAAUUGUCGUUUUAUAUCUUUAAAAAAUGCCUAAAAUGAAGACUUUUACCAUAAUCGUUAUUUUAGACUGAAUAUAACACGACGAUUAUAUAACCGUUGUCUUUACUUAAAGAGAAUGGACUUCAUGCUGAAAGACAGCGGUAUAAGAAUCGCUCAUUCAUGCUGAAAGACAGCGGUAUAAGAAUUGCUCAUUUAGUGCUGAAAUGACCGUUGUCAUUUAGCUUUUUUGCACCAAUAAUUAUAAAGUUUAUUUUUAGAGUGGUGGUGAUAAACAUAUAUCGAUGUGAGAAUAAGUUAGUUUAUAUUGAUUUGUAUAGUGAUUUAAUAACUGUAAAAGUCGAAUAAGAAAGAGUAAAUUAAAGUAAUAUUUUCUUAUGUUUAAUGUAAUUUAAACCAAUGUUUUUUUUUUCUAUGUUAUACUUUAACUUAUACUAAUCCUUUCCAUUAUUAUAAACUUUUUAAAAAUUACAUAUUUUUUAUUUUUCAAAUUAUGCACUAACAAUACGAAUAUGCAUGGUCAAUAAUACGCAGUGUAAAUUGUGUAAAUAUAUGAGCUCCCAUUUUAUUUAUUUAUUUUAGUUUGUGUGACAAAUGAACAUUAUUAGUAGCAAAGAAGAGUGAAGAGUGACUAUAAGUAGCGUUACCAUGAGACUAUGUUACUAUAUGAGACUAUGAGGUAAUAUGGCCUGAAAAAUGUUGAAGGAACUUGUCAAAGACUCAUAGACAAAGUCUUCAAGGGGAUUGGCCGGAACAUAAGGGAAAUGGUCGGAACGAUUUACGUGGACGACAAACUCAUGUGCCCAACACAUAAAGAUUUGAAAGAACUCUUUGAAGCUAUUAGGCUAUGAUGUUCAGACACUUCUCUUAAAUGAUGUGUCGGUGGUAGAUACUCAUAUCGGACACCGACAUUCGUAUGACACUUGUAGGACACGUAUUCGUGAAAUGUCCAAUUCAAAAAGUAUUUGUUGGAUUUUUGACAAUUUUAAUACAAUUCUAACAGAAUUUUAAAAAGGAAAAAUACAUUAAUUUUCUAAAAACUCAAACUUAUUGUAUAAAUUUUUAUUAUGAUUAUAAAAAUAAGAAACAAAUCAUUUUGAAGUAGUCAUGAAAAACAUUUUUUUCUCUUUUCUCCAAAAAACAAUCUGUAACAUACUUGUGUACAUAAAUCUUUAUUAUCAAUUUAUAUAAUUUAUAAUUAUAUAAUAUAUAGAUUCGUGUUUUCAUAUCCUACAUUUUAAAUAUUUAUUUUAAAUAUUUUCCGUAUCUUUACGUUUGUGUCCUUGUUUUAUCGGUGUCCGUGUUAUACAGCUCUUAAGUGAAUGAACAUGCGGCUAAAUCCUGAAAAGUUUGCGUUCAGGAAUAUAAGUUAUUGGGUUUAGGGUUUAAUCUCGAGAAAUGUAGGGCGAUAGAGAUAACAAGAUGAUCAAAAAUACAAAAAAAAGAAGAAGAGUAAAAUAGAGUAAACUCCAUUAUGUUAUUAUUUUGGAAAACUUUUCUUCAACAGUCCAAAGUUUGGAGUAAAAAACAAGCAUUUGACAGCUCCUUUUAAUAAUAUAAUAAUAUAUGAGCUCCCAUUUUAUUUUCUGUGACAGAGAAACAUUAUUAGCAGGAAAGAACACUGAGUGAAAGCAGUGUUUUAGUGUCACAGGGAAGGUGGAGUUUGGAGUCUAGAGGAUUUGGUUGAGGACCAAGUUGGCGAGAUUCAAAGCUUCAGAUGUGGUGCCAUCGGAGAGCUUGGAAGCAAAAGACCAAGAGAGGACGUCGUUCGUUUCAACGUUCCCUUUAGUAAUCCCAGUGGUGGCAGAGAACCCAACGCUCACCCACUCGGGAAGAACGCUCUUCAGGUCCACUGUGUCAGAGACGGUGAAGCUUGUUUUCAGAGAAGGGUAAACCAGAGAAGCCACCAAGAGCUUCGUGGAGGACUCAUAGGUGAUAUGAACCUCGGCGUUUUCUCCGUUGACAAAAUCCCACCGCGUCGUUUUGAUAGACUUGAUGGAGUUCACGUCGAUGCCAAUAUGACGCUCUCUGGGGUCCCAGUCCUUGUUGUAGAGGGUGUCGAACUCCACAGCCACAGUAUGGAAAUUGCUGUUGCUGCCGUCGAAAAGACCUAGAAAACCGCCUUUGUCUUUGGGCUGAGAGCCCACGGGGACGAGAGCAAAGGCAAGGCCAUCGGCGGGUCCUGCAUUGUUGGGAACCUGUAUAUUGAAUGUGAAGUUGGUGUCGAAGCUGGCGACGUUGCCGGUGGUGUAGUCCCAGAUUUGGAUGGGGGCGGAGUAGAAGGCGCGGCCCAGAGAGCCCACCGUGGGUUCUCCGUUGCUGUUAAC
This 9106-nucleotide long non-coding RNA is filed under the name Phaseolus vulgaris (common bean). RNAcentral describes it as "long non-coding RNA (PVUL_LNC003696)". The record is from RNAcentral. Lineage: Eukaryota; Viridiplantae; Streptophyta; Magnoliopsida; Fabales; Fabaceae.